UGGGGAAUAUUGCACAAUGGGCGCAAGCCUGAUGCAGCGACGCCGCGUGAGGGAUGACGGCCUUCGGGUUGUAAACCUCUUUCACUAGGGACGAAGCGUAAGUGACGGUACCUAGAGGAGAAGCACCGGCCAACUACGUGCCAGCAGCCGCGGUAAUACGUAGGGUGCGAGCGUUGUCCGGAAUUACUGGGCGUAAAGAGCUCGUAGGUGGUUUGUCGCGUUGUCCGUGAAAACUCACAACUCAAAUUGUGGGCGUGCGGGCGAUACGGGCAGACUGGGGUACUGCAGGGGAGACUGGAAUUCCUGGUGUAGCGGUGGAAUGCGCAGAUAUCAGGAGGAACACCGGUGGCGAAGGCGGGUCUCUGGGCAGUAACUGACGCUGAGGAGCGAAAGCGUGGGGAGCGAACAGGAUUAGAUACCC
This 421-nucleotide ribosomal RNA is filed under the name uncultured bacterium. RNAcentral's name for it is "bacterial SSU rRNA". It matches the Rfam family "Bacterial small subunit ribosomal RNA", at positions 355 to 787 of the family's 1533-position model. The record is from RNAcentral.